Non-coding RNA from Cryptococcus sp. DSM 104548, 94 nucleotides. The record is from the annotation of a GenBank genome assembly.
UCUUCGAUAGUACAGGGGUUAGUAUAUCCGCUUUUCAAGAACUGUUGGUUUUGAUUUAGCGCGGACGACCCGGGUUCGAAUCCCGGUCGGAGAA